CCUACGGGGGGCAGCAGUGGGGAAUAUUGCGCAAUGGGCGAAAGCCUGACGCAGCGACGCCGCGUGAGGGAUGAAGGUCUUCGGAUCGUAAACCUCUGUCAGCAGGGAAGAACGGUCACUGUGCUAAUCAGCAGUGAAUUGACGGUACCUGUAAAGGCAGCACCGGCUAACUCCGUGCCAGCAGCCGCGGUAAUACGGAGGGGGCGAGCGUUGAUCGGAAUGACUGGGCGUAAAGCGCUCGUAGGCGGUAUGUCAAGUCAAGGGUGAAAUCCCCGAGCUCAACGUGGGAAAUGCCUUUGAAACUAGCAAACUGGAGUGUGAGAGAGGAUAGUGGAAUUCCAGGUGUAGGAGUGAAAUCCGUAGAUAUCUGGAGGAACAUCAGUGGCGAAGGCGACUAUCUGGCACAUAACUGACGCUGAGGAGCGAAAGCGUGGGUAGCAAACAGGAUUAGAUACCCGGGUAGUC
RNAcentral lists this ribosomal RNA (465 nucleotides) under uncultured bacterium. Its description in RNAcentral is "partial 16S ribosomal RNA". It matches the Rfam family "Bacterial small subunit ribosomal RNA", at positions 338 to 795 of the family's 1533-position model. The record is from RNAcentral.